This 906-nucleotide ribosomal RNA is filed under the name Halomonhystera disjuncta. Its description in RNAcentral is "SSU rRNA". It matches the Rfam family "Eukaryotic small subunit ribosomal RNA", at positions 86 to 998 of the family's 1831-position model. Lineage: Eukaryota; Metazoa; Nematoda; Chromadorea; Monhysterida; Monhysteridae. The record is from RNAcentral.
GCCGCGAAUAGCUCAUUACAAUAGCCGUUGUUUCUUGGAUCCUCAAUUUACUUGGAUACCUGUGGUAAUUCUAGAGCUAAUACAUGCGACUAAGGGCCGAACUCACGUGACGCUUGCAUUUAUUAGAUCAAGACUAACCGGCUUCGGCCGUUAACUUGGUGACUCUGAAUAACUCAGCUGAUCGCACGGUCUAGUGCCGGCGACAUAUCUUUCAAGUGUCUACCUUAUCAACUGUCGAUGGUAGUUUAUGUGACUACCAUGGUUGUAACGGGUAACGGAGAAUCAGGGUUUGACUCCGGAGAGGGAGCCUGAGAAACGGCUACCACUUCUAAGGAAGGCAGCAGGCGCGCAAAUUACACAAUCUCAGCACGAGGAUGUAGUGACGAAACAUACCGAGGCGAUGCCCUUUCGGGUGUCGUCAUUGGAAUGAGUCGAAUCUAAAAAAUUCGGCAAGGAUCUAGUGGAGGGCAAGUCUGGUGCCAGCAGCCGCGGUAAUUCCAGCUCCGCAAGUGUAUAUCUAUGCUGUUGCGGUUAAAAAGCUCGUAGUUUGAUUCGCGUACUUAGCACGCAGUGUGGCCUUUCGGCUACUACUGUGAUGCGGUACAUUAUCGUCAGUUUGUCGUUGAUGCUCUUCAUUGGGUGUCAGCGGCGGCUGUCAAGUUUACUUUGAACAAAUUAAAGUGCUCAAUACAGGCGUUUCGCUUGUAUAGUUCUGCAUGGAAUAAUAGAAUAGGACUUACGUUCUAUUGUGUUGGUUUUCAGAACGAAAGUAAUGAUUAAGAGGGACAGACGGGGUCAUUCGUACUGCCACGUUAGAGGUGAAAUUCUUGGAUCGUGGCAAGACGAACUACUGCGAAAGCAUUUGACAAGAAUGUUUUCAUUAAUCAAGAACGAAAGUUAUGGGUC